AUCGGUUCUCAGCCUUUUGGCUAAGAUCAAGUGUUGUUCAAGUAUCUCUUCUUAUCAGUUUAAUCUCUGAUAAAUUGUUUAUCCAACGACAAUCUAAAGAUGGAUUUUUGGCACUAGGAAAUGGAAUAGGAGCUUACUCUGUCCACUCCAUGCAUUGAACUGGUAAUGCAAUACCUCCAGGAAUAGCGCAUCCCCC
Suncus etruscus (white-toothed pygmy shrew) is the source of this 196-nucleotide small nuclear RNA. RefSeq annotates it as U2 spliceosomal RNA. The record is from RefSeq and is a predicted model, not a curated record. NCBI's taxonomy places the organism in Eukaryota, Metazoa, Chordata, Mammalia, Eulipotyphla, Soricidae. The transcript has a single exon.